UACAGAGGUCCCAAGCGUUGUUCGGAUUCACUGGGCUUAAAGGGCGCGUAGGCGGUGCGGUACGGUUUCGGUGAAAUCCCUCGGCCCAACCGAGGAACAGCCGGAGCUACGGCCGGACUAGACGGCAUCAGGGGACAGUGGAACUCCCGGUGGAGCGGUGAAAUGCGUAGAUAUCGGGAGGAACACCGGUGGCGAAGGCGACGUCCUGGACCGGCAUUGACGCUGAGGCGCGAAAGCCAGGGGAGCAAACGGG
Molecule: ribosomal RNA, 253 nt
Filed under: uncultured bacterium
Lineage: Bacteria
Description: partial 16S ribosomal RNA
Rfam family: Bacterial small subunit ribosomal RNA
Source: RNAcentral